UGCGUAGGCGGUCUUUCAAGCCAGAAGUGAAAGGCUACGGCUCAACCGUAGUAAGCUUUUGGAACUGUAAGACUUGAGUGCAGGAGAGGAGAGUGGAAUUCCUAGUGUAGCGGUGAAAUGCGUAGAUAUUAGGAGGAACACCAGUAGCGAAGGCGGCUCUCUGGACUGUAACUGACGCUGAGGCACGAAAGCGUGGGGAGCAAACAGGAUUAGAUACCCUGGUAGUCCACGCCGUAAACGAUGAGUACUAGGUGUCGGGGGUUACCCCCCUCGGUGCCGCAGCUAACGCAUUAAGUACUCCGCCUGGGAAGUACGCUCGCAAGAGUGAA
Molecule: ribosomal RNA, 329 nt
Filed under: uncultured Bacillota bacterium
Lineage: Bacteria; Bacillati; Bacillota
Description: bacterial SSU rRNA
Rfam family: Bacterial small subunit ribosomal RNA
Source: RNAcentral